This 253-nucleotide ribosomal RNA is filed under the name uncultured bacterium. Its description in RNAcentral is "partial 16S ribosomal RNA". It matches the Rfam family "Bacterial small subunit ribosomal RNA", at positions 524 to 776 of the family's 1533-position model. The record is from RNAcentral.
UACAGAGGGGGCGAGCGUUGUUCGGAAUUACUGGGCGUAAAGGGCGCGUAGGCGGCCUUCUAAGUCGAACGUGAAAUCCCCGGGCUCAACCCGGGAACUGCGUCCGAUACUGGGAGGCUUGAAUUCGGGAGAGGGAUGUGGAAUUCCAGGUGUAGCGGUGAAAUGCGUAGAUAUCUGGAGGAACACCGGUGGCGAAGGCGGCAUCCUGGACCGAGAUUGACGCUGAUGCGCGAAAGCCAGGGGAGCAAACGGG